UUUUCUUCUUCUUCUUUUUUUUCCUUUUUUUUUUUAAUUUGAACUGUAUGCUGAAAGUUUUUAUUCUUUUUUUUUUCUAUUUGUGAAGUGUUAAAAGUAACAUACCCUAGCUUAAAAUGGAGAUUGAGUGCACAAGGAGGAAUCCCACUAGUCACGCCUCCAAAACAAAUUCAAUCUUUUUUUUUUUCUAUUUUAAUUUGUUAAGCUUAUCUUCAAUUAGCUGGCAAUCGUAUUAUAUAUUCUUAACUACCAGUUGACUCGCGCUCCGCGCGGGAGGUUUAUAAUUUUGUUUCAUUGAUUUUUUUAUUCAUAUUGU
Molecule: long non-coding RNA, 316 nt
Filed under: Capsella rubella
Lineage: Eukaryota; Viridiplantae; Streptophyta; Magnoliopsida; Brassicales; Brassicaceae
Description: long non-coding RNA (CRUB_LNC004880)
Source: RNAcentral